CAGCGCCACGGUAAUACAGAGGGUGCGAGCGUUAAUCGGAUUUACUGGGCGUAAAGCGUGCGUAGGCGGCUUUUUAAGUCGGAUGUGAAAUCCCUGAGCUUAACUUAGGAAUUGCAUUCGAUACUGGGAAGCUAGAGUAUGGGAGAGGAUGGUAGAAUUCCAGGUGUAGCGGUGAAAUGCGUAGAGAUCUGGAGGAAUACCGAUGGCGAAGGCAGCCAUCUGGCCUAAUACUGACGCUGAGGUACGAAAGCAUGGGGAGCAAACAGGAUUAGAUACCCGCGUAGUCCCUGUCUCUUAUACA
RNAcentral lists this ribosomal RNA (301 nucleotides) under uncultured bacterium. Its description in RNAcentral is "partial 16S ribosomal RNA". It matches the Rfam family "Bacterial small subunit ribosomal RNA", at positions 509 to 808 of the family's 1533-position model. The record is from RNAcentral.